CCAUAAACCGGAGGAAGGUGGGGAUGACGUCAAGUCAGCAUGGCCUUUAUAUCCUGGGCUACACACACGCUACAAUGGGAAGGGACAAUAGGUUGCGAAGCCGCGAGGCGGAGCCAAUCCAGCAAAACUUCCCUCAGUUCAGAUUGCAGGCUGCAACCCGCCUGCAUGAAGUUGGAGUUGCUAGUAAACGCAGGUCAGCCAUACUGCGUUGAAUACGUUCCCGGGGCUU
Molecule: ribosomal RNA, 229 nt
Filed under: uncultured Anaerolineaceae bacterium
Lineage: Bacteria; Bacillati; Chloroflexota; Anaerolineae; Anaerolineales; Anaerolineaceae
Description: partial 16S ribosomal RNA
Rfam family: Bacterial small subunit ribosomal RNA
Source: RNAcentral